CCUACGGGUGGCAGCAGUGAGGAAUCUUCCACAAUGGGCGAAAGCCUGAUGGAGCAACGCCGCGUGAAGGAUGAAGGCCUUCGGGUUGUAAACUUCUUUUAUGAGUGAAGAAUAUGACGGUAACUCAUGAAUAAGCACCGGCUAACUACGUGCCAGCAGCCGCGGUCAUACGUAGGGUGCGAGCAUUAUCCGGAGUGACUGGGCGUAAAGAGUUGCGUAGGCGGUUUAAUAAGUGAAUAGUGAAACCUGGUGGCUCAACCAUACAGACUAUUAUUCAAACUGUUAAACUCGAGAAUGGUAGAGGUAACUGGAAUUUCUUGUGUAGGAGUGAAAUCCGUAGAUAUAAGAAGGAACACCAAUGGCGUAGGCAGGUUACUGGGCCAUUUCUGACGCUAAGGCACGAAAGCGUGGGGAGCGAACCGGAUUAGAUACCCGGGUAGUC
RNAcentral lists this ribosomal RNA (442 nucleotides) under uncultured Candidatus Saccharibacteria bacterium. RNAcentral's name for it is "bacterial SSU rRNA". It matches the Rfam family "Bacterial small subunit ribosomal RNA", at positions 338 to 795 of the family's 1533-position model. Lineage: Bacteria; Candidatus Saccharimonadota. The record is from RNAcentral.